AUACUUACCUCAACGGGGUCAAUCGGUGAUCAAGAAGGCUGAUGGCCUAGGGUGGCUACCUUCAUUGCAUUUGAGGGUGGAUCAUCUUGGUAUCUCUUCAAGUAGGAGAGUACACAUCAUGAUUUGAGUUUGAGUUGAAUCUGUAUGGAUUUUUAUCAUUC
RNAcentral lists this small nuclear RNA (161 nucleotides) under Amborella trichopoda. RNAcentral's name for it is "snRNA U1". It matches the Rfam family "U1 spliceosomal RNA". Rfam says of the family: U1 is a small nuclear RNA (snRNA) component of the spliceosome (involved in pre-mRNA splicing). Lineage: Eukaryota; Viridiplantae; Streptophyta; Magnoliopsida; Amborellales; Amborellaceae. The record is from Rfam by way of RNAcentral.